RNAcentral lists this long non-coding RNA (917 nucleotides) under Rattus norvegicus (Norway rat). RNAcentral describes it as "long non-coding RNA NONRATT019197". The record is from RNAcentral. Lineage: Eukaryota; Metazoa; Chordata; Mammalia; Rodentia; Muridae.
UUCAGGGCGGUGCCUUGGUUUCCCAGGCACACAUCCCCUUGGGUGAUAGUGAGCUACUCCCUAUUUACCUGGGUGUCAGGCUACGGUCAGGGUGCCCCUGGAUUUUGUGGGCCCUCUGUCCUCUGGCUACUCCACCUGUGCCUUUCCUCUCUCUGCAGGAGAUCCUCAGACCCUACGGCGCCUUCUGGCUCACCGCUGCCUUCUGUAUCCUCAGCGUCCUUUUCACGCUCACCUUUGUCCCUGAGACUAAAGGCAGGACUCUGGAACAAAUCACAGCCCAUUUCGAGGGACGGUGACGGACCCUUUCUGUGACUGGCAGCCCUGAGCUGAGCUGGCUUCGGGUUUCAAAAGGAGUGGAGUGGCCUCAGUGACCACAGUUUGAGCCCAGGGGCCCCCUGACUCCUCAGAUCUCCGGGCCAGCUUUGUCCAGAUCUCAACCCAGAUCCACACCAUGAGCUUCACCAGAUUCUGAGGCUCUGCAGCCUGCUGCACACACAACACAUCUGCGGAGCCAUGCAGUCUCGCCUAACCCACGGGUCUCCUUCCUAAGACUAAAGCAACUGACGAGACUGCGGGCUCCUGGCUCUAGUGCUCUGGCUGGGCAUCUUUGGGGUGCUUGGUCCUAAGCAACUGCCCAUACCUCACUUGACUGGGGGAUGAGAAAGGGACUUAGCCACAUAAGAUUUGGGCUCAGAAACAAGGUCAGGUGAGUCCAGGAAGAAAAGAGAAUGUUCUUGUCUUGUCAACCAAGUCCUUCUCAGAGUGCCCAGAGACCUCCGGAUUCACCUUGGGGUUAGCCAGCUUACCCAUCACUUACAGGUUCUCUCCAGCUCUUCCCUGGUCUCAGUGUCCUGGAUCAUUAGUCACCAGGUCUUGUUGAGUUUCAGAAAAUAAAAGGCCUCUUUCCGUUCAACUUU